CACCUCUUGAUUAAAUAUAAGAGGCCCCGCCUGCCCAGUGAUUAUUUCAACGGCCGCAGUAACCUAACCGCGCAAAGGUAGCACAAUCACUUGUUCUCUAAAUAAGGACUAGUAUGAACGGCAUCACGAAGACUAUACUGUCUCCUUUUUAUAAUCAGUGAAACUGAUCUUCCCGUGAAGAAGCGGGAAUUAUUAUAUCAGACGAGAAGACCCCAUGGAGCUUUAAGUCAAACACCAACUGCUAUACUAAAUCACUAUAACUUUGGCAGAUCUGACUGUUAACUUUCGGUUGGGGUGACCACGGAGUAAAAUAAAACCUCCACAAUGAAUGAACCAAAUCCUAAUUCAAGAAUUACACUUCUAAAAAUCAAGACAUUGUCUUUUAUUGACCCAAGCCUUUGAUCAAUGAACCAAGUUACCCUGGGGAUAACAGCGCAAUCCAUUUCAAGAGCUCCUAUCGACAAAUGGGUUUACGACCUCGAUGUUGGAUCAGGGUAUCCUGGUGGUGCAACCGCUACUAAAGGUUCGUUUGUUCAACGAUUAAAACCCU
RNAcentral lists this ribosomal RNA (550 nucleotides) under Cardioglossa melanogaster (Amiet's long-fingered frog). RNAcentral's name for it is "partial 16S ribosomal RNA". It matches the Rfam family "Bacterial large subunit ribosomal RNA", at positions 1829 to 2597 of the family's 2925-position model. Lineage: Eukaryota; Metazoa; Chordata; Amphibia; Anura; Arthroleptidae. The record is from RNAcentral.